RNAcentral lists this long non-coding RNA (9561 nucleotides) under Solanum tuberosum (potato). RNAcentral's name for it is "long non-coding RNA (STUB_LNC002795)". The record is from RNAcentral. Lineage: Eukaryota; Viridiplantae; Streptophyta; Magnoliopsida; Solanales; Solanaceae.
UAUGUUAUUCCGUCUUUCUUUAAAGCACAAUUUCGAUACGUGUAUCAAAGGUCGGGGCAAAUUAGAUUUUAACAAACUUUGUACCAACUUAGAAAACCCUACUCCCUUUGCCCCGCCUAUAAAUAAUGUUUUAGCAGUUUCUCUCAUUCAGUCAUUCUCAAUGCAACUUAACAUAUGGCGGCUGAGAAAUUGAAGGGCAUUCGCCACAAUGAGGAGGUCAUUUAUGACGAUGACGAUAGUGGAAUUCAAUUUCAACAUGUAUUCUCUUCUUAGAUUCUCCAUAACCAAAUCGCCGAUUUAUUGUAAGUUCACUUUACUUUUUUGUUUCUGAAGUAACUCUCAUCAACUAGCACUAGUUUGAGGUGAACUAGCACUGGUUCGAUGUCAACCUUUAGGAGUAAUUUAUCAGAUUGGUUAAAUUUAAAAUAAUAGCAUACUCUUUAUUUAAUACAAUCCCACUAUACAUAUGAUAUACAUAUAGAUUCACUGACUACAUUUCAGCCAUCCAGAGAUCCCGAUCUAUUUAAAAAUUGCUAGAAUUGAUAUAUCCAUAUAUCAUGUUUCUGCGGGCAUAAGAGUUUUGUCCUUUAUGUUCAGUAGAAAUCACAUGUUAUACUAUAUUCCGAUAAAUAGAUAUCCGUGUUAUGAUACAAGUAAAAUUUUAUUUUUCUUAUUUGAUGAUGUAUUGAAUUCAUUUAUUUUGUAGUGAUUGAAUAAACUAUCAAUGGGCAAAAACAUCAUCUUCUUUAAAAGAACAUUUUAAUUUUAAUUGGUCUAUUUGAUCUAAUAGAAAAAUUGACCAAUAUUAUGUCUUUUAAAUUAAUUUUGUCUUAGAUUUAUUUUUAAUAUUUUUUAGAAUAAGUGGUUAAUUCAACAUUUAAUAAAUGAGAUAUAACUUAAUUUUUUUUAAAAUUCCAAAUUAAAAAACGAUUUGCAGUGAGUGAUUCAAUUAAAAACGUUGUAUCACCUACAUUUAAUCAAUAGACUUAAGAUUAUUUUUUUCAAUUAAGCUUUAUUUAUAUGAAACUGACAAAUAUAUAUAUAUAUAUAUAUAUGAAAGUAAGUCUAAAAAUUGGUGGGUGGAUUAUUCAACUUUAUGUUUAUUAUACAAAUUUUAUUUUUCCUUUUUAUGUUACAUAGAAAUUAUAUUACUUUUUCAUAGUUAUCAAAAAAUUAUUUUGACCGAAUUUUAUAAAACUUCCACUUAAAAAUGAAAUGAUAGUCUUAAUUAGUGUUUGAUUUUAAUUAAAUAGAAUUAUUCUAUUUACUCAUAUCAUUAUUCAUUGUAUCACUUAAUUUUGCUUUCUCAUUUAUAUUGUAUUGAUGUCAAAGGUGACUUUCCGAUGAGGAGUUUGCUCCCUUAGAAUUAUAAUUAAUCAAGAAAAUUAGCUUUAAUUGCUUUUCAUUUUGAAUUUUUUUGCCUAAUUUAUAAUUUAUAUUAACUCCAUAAUUGUAUAAUAAAAAAAGAACAAAUUUCUUUUGCACCUGGUAGUUUGAUGAAUAUUGAUGAUGUACAAUAUUAAAAUUUUAUAAAUUAGUUGUCUCAAUAUUCAUGAAAAAAAAAGUGAACAUACCACAUAAUUUUCUCAAAUAUAUAAUUUUAAUAAAUCAAUAAUCUAGCUUUUUAGAUAUGUGUCAUCUUCUUUAUCAGAAAUUUACUUUUCAUUCGUAAAUUUGGACUAUUACAGCGAAAUUAGACAAAUUUUAUGAAUUCAUAAAUAGAAAUUAGAGGGAGCCAUGAUUUUGGAACGUACCUGAAUUGCAGAGAUACUCUUGAAGUUAUUCAUGAAGUUACUACUGCAAUUUAUGUUCGUUUCAAAAUCAUGGAUCUCUAAUUUCUAUUUAUGAAUUCGUAAAAUUUUGUCUACAUUCAUCUACUAAUGAUACACAACAUGAUUUUUUUAUACUUUAUAACUAUGAGAGAAGUCAUUCUUAGCGCGAAUUAUAAAUAAUUAUGAAUUUAAAGUAUUUUGAAAAAAAAAUGUUCACCAUCAAUUAUAUUUGUGAUUCUGAUAAUUAUGAUUAUUAUUUCAUGUCAUACAUGUUAUUUACCACAUUAUCUUAUCCAUCAUAUAAGAGUAAAAUUUUACCUUCUUAUCACUUUAGUUUCAUGAUGUGCAAUUCAAAAGAUGAUUAAAUAUUGAUAAUCAGAAGCUACUAAAUUUAAAUGAUACUGUUUUGAGGCAGAUAUUUUGUUAAUAUCCUUGUCAAUCUCUAGCUAAGGAUGAAUAGCAAUAAAAAUUAAGAAUCAUGUCAUUGAUGACUUAAAGUCACAUUAAUCUGAACUUAAAUUACAUGAAAGGAAAUUAUGAAGCCUUGCAUCUCUGUUUUCAUGGUUAUUGAAUGAUCUAUGAAGUUCCAUUACUAUGAAAAAUAGAGAUGACAUGCUUCAUUGUAUGAGUUCAUAUUAAUCAUUCAUCACUUCGACUUUAAGUUAUUAAUAACAUAAUUUUUCAGUCUUUAUUGUUAUCACAUUUCUGAUAAGGAGAUUAACAAGGCUUUCAACAACAACAAAAAAUGCUUUAAAAUACUAUUUAAGUUCGAUAACUUCUGUUUGUCUAAUUGAAUCAUUAUUUGGAUUGUAUAUCGUGAAAGUUGAACGAUACAGAAAUAAAAUUUCAUUCUUAUAUAAUUGACAAACAGUAAAAACAAAUAACAUGCACAUGUGUGGAUAAUAAUCAUAAUUCUUAGGAUUAAUAGUGAAAUUAAUGGUCUAACAUUUUUAGUAAUCAUGCAAUAUCAUGAUUCGUUAUUUGUGUUACAACCAAUCUUCAUAUUUUUGUAGAUGAAUUGAAUUUUUAUUAUUCAUUUAUUAAAAAAUAUAAAGGUCAACAAUGCUAAUUAAGAGAUUUGACAUGUGAGUUUAAUUGAAAUUUUGGAGGGAGCCCCAAACAUUAAUUAUUAGACAAGUGAUACAUAUUUGGGAAAAACUUAGAAAAUUUGGUUAGCUCAUUAUAUGAAGAGGAUGGAUAAUAUGAAUAACAUGUACAUCCAUAUUAUCCCACAUAUAUGGCAAACAGGUUUAAGCAAAUAAUGUUCCCCGAUAAUUGUACUGUUUGAAUAGACAAUAUUUGUUUUUACUCAUUUAUUUAUUCAAAAUAUCAGAAUAGACAAUAGCAAUCGUGAUGUAACAUAAAUGAAUGUGUUUGUUUUUACUUGAUUUCUCUUGCAUAUCACUUGUUCAGAUUCGUAUUUAGGAUUGACACCCAAAUGAAUAUCGAGCUUGAUUACUAAACAAGAUGAAAUAUAAAUGCUCGCUUCUGUCUAUUCUCGCUCAAUGAUGUAGUUAGACAAUCGAUUGGAGUAGAGGUCGAGAGAUCAUGAUCAUAAAAAUCAAACCUAUAAAUCAGUAAUUUGAUAACCAUAGUUAAUUCAUGCAUGAGAUGUGAUACCCUUGGGUCUAAUAAAAUAUAUUUGGGUCCAUAUCUAGUCUCUUAAAAUAGAAAUAAGUUUAUUUCUCUAUCCAAAUAGUAAUAAUGUCAUAACAUAUGACAGGUAGAAUUUUUAUCCUUACUUUUGUUUACACCAAUUUUUAGAGUUGUUUCUCUAUACAAAUACACUGAAAUAUAUCGUAGCUAAAUAUGAAACUUUUUUAUGGCCAUCAGCAAUAGCCAAAAAAUGUGCGAGGUUUCUUAAUAUUAAAAAAAAAAAAAAAGUAGGAUAAUAUGGAUAUCCAUGUUAUUCAUAUUAUCCAUCCUCUUCUGGGUACAUGUAAUCGCAUUUACCUUGUUGGAACAAAAUGAGGCUUUUUGUACAUGGUGAACGUCUCACCAUUGAAAACCUGCAUAUAAUUAACAAGAUGGAUCUGCAAAAGCAAAGAAUAAAAAGGAGAGAAACAAAGACUCUAUUAUAGUACUUACUAAAUAACAACAUUUAUUUAUGUUACAUCGCGAUUGCUAAAAUCAUAACACAGUUGGAAGCUGCUAAGUCCACAACUUUUUACAUUUAAAGGGGGCAUGAAUGAAUAUUGAGAGGGGACUAAAAAGUGCAGUUCCCGACAUCAAUCAAACAAAUGGGGGUCUUGCCAUGCCCAAGAAGCACAAUUGCUUGCUAUUACAACACAAUCUCUGCAAAAUAAGCUCACUACUAACACAUGCUAGAGAAUAUUGGUGCACAGGGAACCCCUCCGAAAUAGUUCAAUCAAUAUCUCAACACUGCAAUCAUUGGCUCCAAAUGCAAGCCCUGAAACAAAAAUGUUAAAUGAUGCAAAGAUCAAUAUACUGGUAUGUUUUCAUCAUCCUAAAACCUAAAACAUAAAACAACAAUGAACACUAAACAAGUAGAUAAAGCACAAGUAAGAAGCUUGUAUCAAUUAACUACAUCUCAGUCUCACGCGCAGAUGCUAUAUUAUCAGUAAGACCAUAUUCCUUCCCCUCAAUUCGGACCACCUUUACUUCAACCAAAAAGGAUCUUGAGGAAAAAAUAUUGCAUCAGGGUAUAACACUGGAAAAAGAGGAAAGCAGCACAAAAAACAUUGUUGAUAUACCAAAUACAAGUAGCACAAAAGUAGGCAAAUAAUAAAAAGUAAAAGAAAAAAGGCACAAAUCAAAAGAAAUAUUUUAACCCAACAGGGAUCUAAUUGACUACAUGCUCAUUCAUGUAGGAUAGGGACAACCAAGAGCUAAGCAAACAGGUUUAAUAAUUGGACAAAACCAGUGUGCCAAAAGAUUCAUGUCUCGAGAAAAUAAUACUUCUCUGUUUUCUCAGCAAACACUCCCAAAUUUGGGACUACUGAUCAGCAUCUUUUUCUUCUAAAAAAAGUCCAGCUUUUUAAAACUAAAAUCAAAGUGUACACUUCCAGCACUUCUCUAUUUCAACUGAGAAACACUUGUUUUUCACUUCAUGUCGCCAUCAGCCUUAAAAAGCAACAAACCUGCACCUCGCUGGGCUCGCUUUCAAUAGCACUGAUAGGGAAUAUCCCUUUAUCUCUUUAAUGAACCCAAUUUGGAUUUCCCUUGUCAUGGAACCAAUUAUUAGUUCAAUCUCUUUUCCCUUGAAUUGAUUAUCCUUUUCUGCUAAUUUCUGUUCCUAAUCUAAUUUCUUGCGUUUAUCCUAUAUUUUGUUCUUAAUUGUUAUGUUCGAGGAAUUAGUCCACAAUAUUAUUAGGAACAAACCCCAACUUCAAUCCUACGAGAACAACAACAAAUCUCGGAUAAAGCAAUUUGAAGUUUCACCUUCACGCUUCACCCGAGUUCCAACGGAGUUACACGUGUUUUGACACAAUUUCUUCCAAAUUUCAGCUAGAGUUUCGAUCUUACAAACACAAUACAAUCAGUUUUCCAACUCAAUCAGUACACAAAACUUCGAACUCAACCGCUUCAUUUCAAAGCUAUCUCGGCCAACAAUGGCGGAUUCAAUUUUCAUCCAAGCCUAAUCCAAAUGGACUCAUAUGCGAAUCAGGAGCUCCUUACAAGCAUAGGAACUAAGCCCAGGCAAGCAAUUUGAUCGAACCUUGACAAAAUCAAUCGAACCUAGAUAAUCUUCUUUGCCAAGUCAGUUGUAAAUAUUUUCGAUCGAACCCAGUUCAAACAUGCUUCAAUUGACUUGAAACCUCAAAUUCAAACUCGAAAAUUAAUUUCCAACCGCCUUAGACGACACCCACUCGAAUUGGACCGAUAUCUUCAAAGAAUUUUCAGAUUUGAAAAGCUCUGAACCCGUCAAUAGUAAAUUGCAGAUUUCAAAAACAGAAACAGUAAUCAAGUCCAGAUUUGGGUCUUCAAAUCACGCAAACUUUCUUAGAUUAGCAAACCUCAGGUACCAGCGGAGAAGCACAAAGAGAAAUAGAGAAGAACAAGAUGAGUUUCGAUAUUCAUAUUUGUUUUAAACUCAAACAGUGUAGUGCAAUAUGAACCAAAAAGAAUAAACACAGAUUUACUUUUCUGAUCUUUUGAUAAAAAUCAAAUACUUAGUAUGUGUAAGAACAAACACUAAUCCAAACUCUGAUACCAAGAUGAUACAAACUCAAAUGUGAAAGCAAUAAAAUAGAAGAAGACAAUUACAAACAAGAUAGUACAGAAGGGUCAAUACAAGAAAUUAGAUCAGGGAAAAACAAAAAUUAGCAGAAAGAUAUAACAGAUAUUCCCUAUACACUCACAAAUUGGAGUAUCAUACUCAUUCAUCAAAAUCUAGACUACGGAGAAUUAAGUCAUUGAACAUAAACUAUGCAGCUAUUUAUAGUAGCUACUCAUGCUUAUUACAGAAAUGGCCAAAUAGGCUAAGAUUGUUAACUGUAAAACUGACCUUCAUUCCUCACCUACUAUAGCCCUUUACCUUGAUAUCACCUUAUAACUUAAAAGGGUUCCAAAUUGAGAGUACUAGGCAGAGAUGUAUCAGGAGGUAAGAAGAUUUAACAUUGGAAGUCUCCUCAGCAUCUUUAAGACCUUGAAAAGUCUUCUUCAAGAUGUUGACGAAACCAAGAGCUCUCUCAAGUUCCUAAUCAUUCAAGAAUCGAAAGUAAUAUUCCAUCCUUGAUAUCCCCAAACUGCUUCUGGUUUUGCUUCAAGAAGUGAUACAAUGCUAAAAAAUCUGGAAACAGAUCAAGAGAAUCAUGUCUUAACCAGUUUUCACUCCGAGAGUUUUUCCCUCCAUCCCCACCACCACCACUCCUUUAUAGUGGUAUCAGCAGCCAAGGAAUUCCAGCAGUCUGCUAUAUUCCAAACCCCAAACCCAUAAGGACUGUUGACAAUUCUUGAGCACAAAUGUCCAUCCCAAUCAUACUUGUCACACAUGACCCUUCUCCACAAGGAAUUAACUUCCAGGUUAUACCUCCAUAGCUAAUCAUAAGUAAGUUUUGGUUGUGUGCCUUGAGAUUCUUGAUGCACAAACCUCCUUUCUUUUUACUUGUGAUAAGUGUGUUCAAAUUAACCAAAUGGCAAGCUUUAUUGUCUUUGUUUCCUUGCCAUAUGAAAUUCCUCCUUAAUGCAUCAAUUAUUUUCCUCACUUUGCAAGGUAAAAGGAACAAAGACAUGACAUAGGUAGGAAGUGCAUCAAGUACAGUGUUCACUAAUAUGACUCUUCCUCCCAUAGAUAAAUAUUGGCUCUUUCAGAUUGCUACUCUUUUCGCAUCUUUCAAGUACCCUAUUCUAGAUUUCAUGAGCUUUAUCUUUGGAGCCCAAGGACAGCCCGGAUAAGUAGUUGGUAGUGACUCCACACCUCACAGACCAAAGUUGCUGCUAGAACCUGAAUAUUAACAAUCUCUUUAACUGGGAAUAGCAUACUCUUUCUCCAGUUAACAUGAAGCUCCGAAACUGCUUCAAAGAUGAUUUGAAUAAGCCAUGGGUGUUCAAGUUGAUUUGCUUUAGCAUCACAGAAGACCAGUGUACCGUAUGCAUUGAGGAAAUGAGUGGUCUCCAUAUUGUCAACCUCCCUAUUAGAAGCUUUAAUCCUUUCAGCCAUCCUUUUCCUUUAGAUAAUGGUGCUAGUUGCUACAUAAAUUAGGCACUUUCUGGUGGAUAAGGACUUGUAUAUAAACAACAGCAAAACAAUAGAUACAUAGGGCUAAGAGCUUGGUCUCCCAUAAAAUUUAUGAUUUGUCUGUAUUUAUCUCCUCAAGAGGCAACAGAAAAACAUUUAGGAAUCUUGACCUGGGACUUUUACCUCAUUAACAGAUGGUUGAACCCUUCAGAAUCCUAGACCCCAAUGUUUUUGCCUCAUGAACAUUGAGUAAAUCCCUUCAUCACUGAUCCACUGUAAUUCUUGCACAGAUGCUCUCUAACUUGUACGAUUUGGCCGACUGAAAUCUAUUCCCCCCCCCCUCCUCCCACACCCCACACGUACAGCUAGAAUGUCAUGGUCCAGUGAUACCUUGCUCCGUACACAAGUAUUUGUGUAGGAAUAACAUUAGACUAUUAGUUGUCAUAUCCCACAUCAACUAACCUAUCAAAUCGGCUGCAUAUUAGCUAUACAUCAGUUAACUAUUCCUCAAAUCUAAAUUAGUCAAGGUUGAUAUUUGUAUCAGCUUAUAUCUAUUCUGCUCAAUUUAGGCGCUUGCCUGGUAGGCAGAUCCCAACAAACUCAAAGUUCAGUUGGGCUAGUUUACCUUGGCCGAUCAACCUACUAAAAUUUCCUCCUUUAUCUGGAUUUAAAAUUGACAAACACACAUAGGUAGAUUUUAUCGCCAAAUCCACCAGCAAAAAGAUUCAAGAAAUUGUCUGUUAGCAUAUAUAUUCUGUUGUAUCUUGAUGGAUUAGGUUAAUUGGAGUUAUAAUUUUUUCAUUGGCUAGCAAAGUUGUUGCAGACACGUGACAAAUGUGCGCUACUAGGUUCUAUGCCGGAUUAAGUCUGACUAAAUUGGGUUCUCUACAUACCAAACAACUAGAAACUUCGAUGGGAGAAGAAGAAAUAAGUUUGUUUUUGUUUAGACACAAAUAAUAUGGAAAAGACAAGUGUUGAACAUUUUUAUGUCAAUAUGGUGCAGUUAGUGAAUGACAAUUCAAGAGUAAUGACAAUCAGCAACCAUAUAUAUACAUACAAGUAAACUGUACACUUACGUUUUCUGUGUUCCACACCUCCACCAAACACUUCAUAAAUCUAAAUGUAUCAUAAAUUUAGGUGCUUGUGUGAGUCAAACACUUCGACAUUCACCACUAUCUGAAACUCUUACCUUAUGUUAGUAUAAUAUGAUACACUACCUUGAUUCAACCACUAAACAAGCCACCUCUACUAAACCUUACUUUUUUAUCCGGGUCAAGACCAAGAAACUCACACAGGUAGAAUAUUCAUCGCGAACUCCACCAGCAAAACGAUUCAAGAAAUUGUCCAUCAGCAAACAUACUGUUGUAUCUUGAAGGCUUCGGCCAACUGAACCUGUUAACUUUUGUUCAAGUAACUAUCUUCAUCAAAAAAAAACUUUAUGUAACUAACUAUAAAGGGGGGAAACUAAAAAUAACGAACUUCCUUGGUCAAAGAGAUCCUUCAAUUUGGCUAGUAAACCUAUUAUAGACAUGUGUGACAAAUGUAUGUUAAUAAGUUAUGUGUCAGACAAAGUCAAUCUAAUUAUAUGAAUUGAGCUUUCUGCUUCCUAAGUGACUAGAAACCAACAAAGUAGAAAUUUGUUGGGCUGAUGAAGUGGCUGUGGAGGUACAAUGAUGAAGAUCAGGCUUUCUGGAGGGGAGUCAUUCCGUGAAAGUACAGGCAGGCAAGCCCCUGGUGUACAAGUAUGGUAUCUAACAUCUAUGGUGUUGGGGUGUGGAAAUCAAUUAGAGCUUUAUUGCCAAAGUUGGAAUUAAUUGUUUGUGUUUAAGUAGGCAUGGUAGAAGGACUAGGUUUUGGAGGGAGGUUUGGGAUGGUAGGCUAUAAACACGGGUUUUUAGCUAUUCUUCGGCUAUUAUUUACUACAUUUAAAUUGAGUUUGAGCUAAUUUAUGAUCAAUUUAUACUCAUUACGUGUGUUUUGUUGUGUAGGACAUGUCCUCAAGAUAACCAAUGAGUUUGGAGCUAAAACAAGUGAUUUGGAACUUCGAAGUUUGAGUAGAUGUCCAAGAAAAUUAAUUAAGACCAAGUUUGGGGUUCAAGGAACUAUUGGACGUGAAUAAAGCAGUGUAAUGACAAAGAGACUCGGAGC